This 465-nucleotide ribosomal RNA is filed under the name Vreelandella stevensii. Its description in RNAcentral is "partial 16S ribosomal RNA". It matches the Rfam family "Bacterial small subunit ribosomal RNA", at positions 338 to 795 of the family's 1533-position model. The record is from RNAcentral. Lineage: Bacteria; Pseudomonadati; Pseudomonadota; Gammaproteobacteria; Oceanospirillales; Halomonadaceae.
CCUACGGGAGGCAGCAGUGGGGAAUAUUGGACAAUGGGGGGAACCCUGAUCCAGCCAUGCCGCGUGUGUGAAGAAGGCCCUCGGGUUGUAAAGCACUUUCAGUGAGGAAGAACGCCUGGUGGUUAAUACCCAUCAGGAAAGACAUCACUCACAGAAGAAGCACCGGCUAACUCCGUGCCAGCAGCCGCGGUAAUACGGAGGGUGCGAGCGUUAAUCGGAAUUACUGGGCGUAAAGCGCGCGUAGGUGGCUUGAUAAGCCGGUUGUGAAAGCCCCGGGCUCAACCUGGGAACGGCAUCCGGAACUGUCAAGCUAGAGUGCAGGAGAGGAAGGUAGAAUUCCCGGUGUAGCGGUGAAAUGCGUAGAGAUCGGGAGGAAUACCAGUGGCGCAGGCGGCCUUCUGGACUGACACUGACACUGAGGUGCGAAAGCGUGGGUAGCAAACAGGAUUAGAUACCCCUGUAGUC